This 24-nucleotide non-coding RNA is filed under the name Arabidopsis thaliana (thale cress). The record is from RNAcentral. Lineage: Eukaryota; Viridiplantae; Streptophyta; Magnoliopsida; Brassicales; Brassicaceae.
UCGGGAUACCAAAUAAUAUUCAGU